RNAcentral lists this ribosomal RNA (453 nucleotides) under uncultured bacterium. RNAcentral describes it as "partial 16S ribosomal RNA". It matches the Rfam family "Bacterial small subunit ribosomal RNA", at positions 28 to 523 of the family's 1533-position model. The record is from RNAcentral.
GAUGAACGCUGGCGGUCUGCUUAACACAUGCAAGUCGAACGGAAUCCUUCGGGAUUUAGUGGCGGACGGGUGAGUAACGCGUGAGAAUCUGCCUUCAGGUUCGGGACAACAGCUGGAAACGGCUGCUAAUACCGGAUGUGCCGAGAGGUGAAAGCUUUAGUGCCUGAAGAUGAGCUCGCGUCUGAUUAGCUAGUAGGAGUGGUAAUGGCACCCCUAGGCGACGAUCAGUAGCUGGUCUGAGAGGAUGAUCAGCCACACUGGGACUGAGACACGGCCCAGACUCCUACGGGAGGCAGCAGUAGAGAAUUUUCCGCAAUGGGCGCAAGCCUGACGGAGCAAGACCGCGUGAGGGAAGAAGGUCUGUGGAUUGUAAACCUCUUUUGAUGGGGAAGAAGACAGUGACGGUACCCAUCGAAUCAGCCUCGGCUAACUCCGUGCCAGCCGCCGCGGUAA